UCAAUGAGGAUAGCACGAGUCUUGACGUCAACCUCCGGAUGUUUGUGAAGGUACUUUCUCACUCGAAAGUGAACUUCUCGGUGUCUGUAGUAGUCAAAAAUCCCUUGAGCAUAGUCCGAGAUACUGUCCGGGUUUCCGGCCUCCUCGAGGUCGUAAUCG
This 159-nucleotide small RNA is filed under the name Caenorhabditis elegans. RNAcentral describes it as "Unclassified non-coding RNA T06E6.16". The record is from RNAcentral. Lineage: Eukaryota; Metazoa; Nematoda; Chromadorea; Rhabditida; Rhabditidae.